This 69-nucleotide transfer RNA is filed under the name Temnopleurus toreumaticus. Its description in RNAcentral is "tRNA-Ala". It matches the Rfam family "tRNA". From Rfam's summary of the family: Transfer RNA (tRNA) molecules are approximately 80 nucleotides in length. Their secondary structure includes four short double-helical elements and three loops (D, anti-codon, and T loops). Lineage: Eukaryota; Metazoa; Echinodermata; Echinoidea; Temnopleuroida; Temnopleuridae. The record is from RNAcentral.
GUGGCUUUAGUUUAAUAAAAACGUUUGCUUUGCAAGCAGAAAUUCUAAGUUGAAGUCUUGGAAGCUACA